RNAcentral lists this unclassified non-coding RNA (325 nucleotides) under Hevea brasiliensis (rubber tree). Lineage: Eukaryota; Viridiplantae; Streptophyta; Magnoliopsida; Malpighiales; Euphorbiaceae. The record is from RNAcentral.
AGGAUGUAAUCAUGGCUCAUCGCCAAUAUGAAUCCGGCCGCCGAAGCAUGGCCGGUAACAGCCGCGAUCGUAGGCAUAGGAAGGUUGAAAAGUUCAGAAAUGAGCGAUUUGAGCUUGGAAUCCAUUAACUCUAAGCUGGAUAGAUCGGACGAAGCCAAAUCGAGAUCGUAGCCAUUAGAGAAGAAUUUGCCCUGAGCUGUAGUGAUUAAAACGGAGCUGCCUGUUGCUUCCGCCGUUAUCCGUUCGAGAGCGGAUCUGAUUGAAUCAAUAAGAGAAGGAUUUAGCCUGUGCUCAUCGUCGCCGGUGAGUGUAAGAAUGAAUAAAU